UACGGAGGAGGCAAGCGUUAUCCGGAAUUAUUGGGCGUAAAGCGUCCGCAGGUGGCACCUCAAGUCGGCUGUCAAAGACCGGGGCUUAACCCCAGAAAGGCAGUGGAAACUGAAGUGCUAGAGUGCAGUAGGGGUAGAGGGAAUUCCCGGUGUAGCGGUGAAAUGCGUAGAGAUCGGGAAGAACAUCGGUGGCGAAAGCGCUCUGCUGGACUGCAACUGACACUCAGGGACGAAAGCUAGGGGAGCGAAUGGG
RNAcentral lists this ribosomal RNA (253 nucleotides) under uncultured bacterium. RNAcentral describes it as "partial 16S ribosomal RNA". It matches the Rfam family "Bacterial small subunit ribosomal RNA", at positions 524 to 776 of the family's 1533-position model. The record is from RNAcentral.